GUGGGGAAUCUUAGACAAUGGGGGAAACCCUGAUCUAGCCAUGCCGCGUGAGCGAUGAAGGCCUUAGGGUUGUAAAGCUCUUUCAGCUGGGAAGAUAAUGACGGUACCAGCAGAAGAAGCCCCGGCUAACUCCGUGCCAGCAGCCGCGGUAAUACGGAGGGGGCUAGCGUUGUUCGGAAUUACUGGGCGUAAAGCGCGCGUAGGCGGACCAGAAAGUUGGAGGUGAAAUCCCAGGGCUCAACCUUGGAACUGCCUUCAAAACUCCUGGUCUGGAGUUCGAGAGAGAUGAGUGGAAUUCCGAGUGUAGAGGUGAAAUUCGUAGAUAUUCGGAGGAACACCAGUGGCGAAGGCGGCUCACUGGCUCGAUACUGACGCUGAGGUGCGAAAGCGUGGGGAGCAAACAGGAUUAGAAACCCGGGUAGUCC
Molecule: ribosomal RNA, 425 nt
Filed under: uncultured bacterium
Lineage: Bacteria
Description: partial 16S ribosomal RNA
Rfam family: Bacterial small subunit ribosomal RNA
Source: RNAcentral